AAUUAACCCUCUAGAAUUUUAAAAUUUGCUAAAUGACCCUUCCAAAAUAAUAUUUGUAAAACUAAUCCUCCUUUCGUCACGUAUGCGGAGGGGUGGAAAUUUUUUUAUAAAAACGGUAAAUCGUUCACCGCCUUCAAUACUAAUAGAUUUUUAUAAAAGCGGUGAAUCGUUCAUUGCCUUCAGUACUAAUAUAAUUAACAAAGACGGCGAAUGGUUCACCAUUUUUUACUUAUUUAAUAUUUUUUCUAUAUCUCAUAUAUAAUCUUAACAACCACAUAAAAAUUAUAACAAAUCACAUAUAANUUUUUUAUAAAUUAACCCUCUAGAAUUUUAAAAUUUGCUAAAUGACCCUUCCAAAAUAAUAUUUGUAAAACUAAUCCUCCUUUCGUCACGUAUGCCCCAUAUAUAAUAUUAAACCACAUAAAAAUUAUAACAAAUCACAUAUAAUCUCAACAACUUGAAAAUUCUAAUAAUCUAUCCAUAUAAUUCUAAUAUAAAAAUGACAACAAAUCACAUAUAAUCUUAACAAUCUGAAAAUUCUAAUAAUUUAUCCAUACAAUUCUAACAAUCAAAUAAAAAUUUCAUAUUAAAAAUCUCAUUUUUUUUCUAUUUUUCAUAUAAUUCACGUAUAAUCCUAACGAUCUCAUUUUUUUUUAUUUUUCAUCUAACAAUCUCACUUUUUUCUAUUUUCCAUAUAACCUACAUACAGGAAAAUAUAAGGUUGUUAGAUGAAAGAUAAGAAAACGUGAGAUUUUUAGGAUUAUACAUGAAUUAUUAGAAUUUUUAUUUGAUUAUUAGGAUUAUUUGAAUAGAUUAUUAGGAUUUUUAGGUUGUUAAAAUUAUAUCUGAUUUGUUAUAAUUUUUAUUUGGUUGGUAAGAUUAUAUAUGAGAUAUAGAAAAAAAUAUUAAAUCAGUAAAAGACAGUAACCAUUCACCAUCUUUACUAAUUAUAUUGACAGUGAGAAGGCGGUAAAUGAUUCACCGCUUUCAUAACAAAAGUUUGUUCUCUGGCUACGUGGUGAAAGGAGGAUUAGUUUUACAAAUAUAAUUAUGGUGUAAAAAAUUGGGUAACGGUGUAAUGGGCAUGGUGAGCGCCGAGUUGGGGCGGCACGAGCG
Molecule: long non-coding RNA, 1116 nt
Filed under: Ananas comosus (pineapple)
Lineage: Eukaryota; Viridiplantae; Streptophyta; Magnoliopsida; Poales; Bromeliaceae
Description: long non-coding RNA (ACOM_LNC000470)
Source: RNAcentral